AUUGAACGCUGGCGGCAUGCCUUACACAUGCAAGUCAAACGGUAACAGGUCUUCGGAUGCUGACGAGUGGCGAACGGGUGAGUAAUACAUCGGAACGUGCCUAGUAGUGGGGGAUAACUACUCGAAAGAGUGGCUAAUACCGCAUGAGAUCUACGGAUGAAAGCAGGGGAUCGCAAGACCUUGUGCUACUAGAGCGGCCGAUGGCAGAUUAGGUAGUUGGUGGGAUAAAAGCUUACCAAGCCGACGAUCUGUAGCUGGUCUGAGAGGACGGUCAGCCACACUGGGACUGAGACACGGCCCAGACUCCUACGGGAGGCAGCAGUGGGGAAUUUUGGACAAUGGGCGAAAGCCUGAUCCAGCAAUGCCGCGUGCAGGAUGAAGGCCUUCGGGUUGUAAACUGCUUCUGUACGGAACGAAAAGCCCCGGGUUAAUACCCUGGGGUCAUGACGGUACCGUAAGAAUAAGCACCGGCUAACUACGUGCCAGCCGCCGCAGUAA
This 498-nucleotide ribosomal RNA is filed under the name uncultured bacterium. RNAcentral describes it as "partial 16S ribosomal RNA". It matches the Rfam family "Bacterial small subunit ribosomal RNA", at positions 30 to 523 of the family's 1533-position model. The record is from RNAcentral.